RNAcentral lists this unclassified non-coding RNA (557 nucleotides) under Xanthomonas campestris pv. campestris. RNAcentral describes it as "partial contains 16S-23S ribosomal RNA intergenic spacer and 23S ribosomal RNA". The stretch from base 166 to 239 matches the Rfam family "tRNA". The record is from RNAcentral. Lineage: Bacteria; Pseudomonadati; Pseudomonadota; Gammaproteobacteria; Lysobacterales; Lysobacteraceae.
CGGGCGUCCUCACAAAUUACCUGCAUUCAGAGAUUCAUACCGGCACAGGUCGGUAUGCGAAGUCCCUUUUGGGGCCUUAGCUCAGCUGGGAGAGCACCUGCUUUGCAAGCAGGGGGUCGUCGGUUCGAUCCCGACAGGCUCCACCAUAUUGAGUGAAAAGACUUCGGGUCUGUAGCUCAGGUGGUUAGAGCGCACCCCUGAUAAGGGUGAGGUCGGUAGUUCGAGUCUACCCAGACCCACCACUCUGAAUGUAGUGCACACUUAAGAAUUUAUAUGGAUCAGCGUUGAGGCUGAGACAUGUUCUUUUAUAACUUGUGACGUAGCGAGCGUUUGAGAUAUCUAUCUAAACGUGUCGUUGAGGCUAAGGCGGGGACUUCGAGUCCCUAAAUAAUUGAGUCGUAUGUUCGCGUUGGUGGCUUUGUACCCCACACAACACGGCAUGUAACUCCGAGGCAACUUGGGGUUAUAUGGUCAAGCGAAUAAGCGCACACGGUGGAUGCCUAGGCGGUCAGAGGCGAUGAAGGACGUGGUAGCCUGCGAAAAGUGUCGGGGAACCG